RNAcentral lists this ribosomal RNA (483 nucleotides) under uncultured Pelotomaculum sp. RNAcentral's name for it is "bacterial SSU rRNA". It matches the Rfam family "Bacterial small subunit ribosomal RNA", at positions 897 to 1382 of the family's 1533-position model. Lineage: Bacteria; Bacillati; Bacillota; Clostridia; Eubacteriales; Desulfotomaculaceae. The record is from RNAcentral.
AAACUUAAGGAAUUGACGGGGCCCGCACAAGCGGUGGAGCAUGUGGUUAAUUCGACGCAACGCGAAGAACCUUACCAGGGCUUGACAUCCCCUGACCGCGUAUGAAAGUACGUUUUCACCCUCGGGUGACAGGGAGACAGGUGGUGCAUGGUUGUCGUCAGCUCGUGUCGUGAGAUGUUGGGUUAAGUCCCGCAACGAGCGCAACCCCUACGUUUAGUUGCUAACGCGUGAAGGCGAGCACUCUAGACGAACUGCCGUUGACAAAACGGAGGAAGGUGGGAUGACGUCAAAUCAUCAUGCCCCUUAUGUUCUGGGCUACACACGUGCUACAAUGGCCGGUACAGACGGAGGCAAAGCCGCGAGGCGGAGCAAAUCCAAAAAGCCGGUCUCAGUUCGGAUUGCAGGCUGCAAUUCGCCUGCAUGAAGUCGGAAUCGCUAGUAAUCGCAGGUCAGCAUACUGCGGUGAAUACGUUCCCGGGCCUU